RNAcentral lists this ribosomal RNA (830 nucleotides) under uncultured bacterium. RNAcentral describes it as "bacterial SSU rRNA". It matches the Rfam family "Bacterial small subunit ribosomal RNA", at positions 627 to 1456 of the family's 1533-position model. The record is from RNAcentral.
UGGAAACUGUNUGACUUGAGUGCAGAAGGGGAGAGUGGAAUNCCAUGUGUAGCGGUGAAAUGCGUAGAUAUAUGGAGGAACACCAGUGGCGAAAGCGGCUCUCUGGUCUGUCACUGACGCUGAGGCUNGAAAGCGUGGGUAGCGAACAGGAUUAGAUACCCUGGUAGUNCACGCCGUAAACGAUGAGUGCUAGGUGUUAGGCCCUUUCCGGGGCUUAGUGCCGGAGCUAACGCAAUAAGCACUCCGCCUGGGGAGUACGACCGCAAGGUUGAAACUCAAAGGAAUUGACGGGGGCCCGCACAAGCGGUGGAGCAUGUGGUUUAAUUCGAAGCAACGCGAAGAACCUUACCAGGUCUUGACAUCCCGAUGCUAUUCUUAGAGAUAGGAAGUUACUUCGGUACAUCGGAGACAGGUGGUGCAUGGUUGUCGUCAGCUCGUGUCGUGAGAUGUUGGGUUAAGUCCCGCAACGAGCGCAACCCUUAUUGUUAGUUGCCAUCAUUAAGUUGGGCACUCUAGCGAGACUGCCGGUAAUAAACCGGAGGAAGGUGGGGAUGACGUCAAAUCAUCAUGCCCCUUAUGACCUGGGCUACACACGUGCUACAAUGGUCGGUACAACGAGUUGCGAGCCGGUGACGGCAAGCUAAUCUCUGAAAGCCGAUCUCAGUUCGGAUUGGAGGCUGCAACUCGCCUCCAUGAAGUCGGAAUCGCUAGUAAUCGCGGAUCAGCACGCCGCGGUGAAUACGUUCCCGGGCCUUGUACACACCGCCCGUCACACCACGAGAGUUUGUAACACCCGAAGUCGGUGAGGUAACCUUUUAGGGGCCAGCCGC